Molecule: long non-coding RNA, 456 nt
Filed under: Elaeis guineensis (African oil palm)
Lineage: Eukaryota; Viridiplantae; Streptophyta; Magnoliopsida; Arecales; Arecaceae
Description: long non-coding RNA (EGUI_LNC078615)
Source: RNAcentral
CUCAGUUCAAGAUGGUUAGGGUGAUUCGGCCAACUGUUCUGCCCCAAUAACAAGAGGGGGAGGCAAAUAAGGCCUCCCAUGCCUUGUCUGCCUCUUCCUCUCUAUUUUUUUUUUUCAAAUUCCGUGAGAAAAGGAAAACACAGCAAAUUCUUGCCAAAUUUAGGCCAAAAUCAAGGUAUGAUCCCUAUCUCCUUUUCCCUUGCUCUCUUCCUCCCUCCCUCUUUUUUAUUUUGAGUGCUAAAAUAGGCCAAAAAUGGGGAAAAUGAGGAAAAAUCAUGCCAAAUUUUGUCUUUUGGUAUGAUUUCAUGAUAUGUUAUAGAUCUAAGGAUGAUCUGACCAAAUCCCAAAAAAUGUUUUUUUUUUUGUUGAUCAUAUUAAAUUUUACAUUAAAAAUAUAUUUUUAGAUUAAAAAUAAUAAAAAUAAUAAAGUAAUGUUCAAAAAAUGCUGUAAAACUG